AGUUGAUAUCAAUAGUGGAUAUAGCCUUUCCAAAGGGCUAGUUGGUUUAACUCUUGGGAAAGAAAGCAAAGGAGGAGGUAGAGUGAGGCUCGUCUAACCUCUCCUCCUGUCAUGGCAGGGAACUCAGUUUUCAAGGUUUCUUGAGGUGGUCCUCUUGGACAAGAGGGGAUCUGUUCACUUGGGGGGCUUAGGAUUUCAUUUUUAGGUCUCAGUAUGUAUUAAAAAACCCACAGAGUAUAUAGAGUUUAGUACUAUCUGUGGUUUCAGGCAUCCACUGAGAGUCUAGGAAUGUAUCCCCCUCAGAUAAGGAGAUACUACUGUAAAUAUAAUCAUAUAAUUUAAGUAUAUUCUGUUCAAUUUCUUUCAUAUACCAUAAUGUUUUAAAAUAUUUAGUUGUUUUUUUGUUAGCCUUAUAUAGUAUAUGUAUGCUACAAUUUGUUCAUUUACUAGUUGAUAGUUCAAAUGUUCUGUAUUUUAGUAUCAAGAAUGAUGCUGCUAUGAACAUUUAUGUACAACUCUUUGGAUGAAUAUAUGCUAUCUUUUCUCUUUGCAAGAGUAGCUCAGAGAACUCAAGAAAACUGUUUACUCACAUUAACCCUGUACUGCAAAAGUUACAGAUGAAGAGCCAGAUGAAAGAGAUCCAUGAGGCAAGACAUCGAGUCAUGAAUAUGGAAUGACUUCACCUGACUUCACUUGAAAUUCACUUAAUUUUCAACUCUGUUGGCUAUGAGAUUUCAAGAAGACUGGAUAUUGGAGAGAAUCAUAAUAAAUGCAAGUAUUGGACAUUCAACUGUCUAGUUCCAACGUGCCACUAUGGAAUA
This 821-nucleotide long non-coding RNA is filed under the name Homo sapiens (human). RNAcentral describes it as "HSALNT0325619". The record is from RNAcentral. Lineage: Eukaryota; Metazoa; Chordata; Mammalia; Primates; Hominidae.